Molecule: long non-coding RNA, 2255 nt
Filed under: Capra hircus (goat)
Lineage: Eukaryota; Metazoa; Chordata; Mammalia; Artiodactyla; Bovidae
Description: lncRNA (ENSCHIG00000002278.1)
Source: RNAcentral
ACCGGGCGCGCCGCUCUGAGGACGGGGAGGGGCCGGCGGUGGGCGCUGCGGCGCUGCAAGGCUCUGCAGCAUGUGCCUGUGCUGUAGGGAGGACGAGUCUGUCCAAGUCAACCCCGAAAGCUCGAGCUGGCGGCAUCCUGCAGAAGUCACUCAAAGGCAGUCCACAGCUAAACGUAUUGAGCAUAUGAGAAACCUUUGGAAACAGAAGAGGAAAUUUAAUAAACGUUUUGCAAGGCCUGCGCCUGUUCCAGAACCAGGACUCCUAUGGACAUAAAGUUGAAGUCUGUGUGGAAGAAAUCAUGCCAGACCACAGAUUUCUAACAUCAAGUGGCAUUUUGUGAUUUGAUGUCAUUCGAAAAAAUAAAGACAGUGCUCCUCCAGUUCAGCAAAAUAAACACAGUGCAACCAUUUAACACCUAAGCUACAGGGUCUAGAAUUUUAUUAAAUAUGAUAUCUUACUACCACUUUCUCUGGUAAUUUGAGAUUGCUUCUUUUCAACAAAUAAUAAUAUGCAUAUGCCUUUGUAAGUGAUGUAUUCAUGCUUAUGUUUUUGCAGCUGGAUUUACAACUUAUUUAGAGAUUUAGCAUUAUGCUUUAAUAAUAGGGGAAAAUACAUUUCCUCUGCUGUAUAUUUAUAAUGAGUUGUGUUUAAACAAGAUGUUUAAAAUCUUUAAACAAGUCCUAGUAGAGAGUUUUGUUUCGGUUUGUUUUUUUAUCGAAGUAUGACGUAUUGUGGUGUAGUUGACUGACAAUAUUAGAUUCAGGUGCACAAUGUAGUGAUUCAAUAUUUUUGAAGAUUAUACUUCAUUUAAAGGUACUUAUAAAAUAUUGGCUGUUUUCCAUGCACUGUACAUUAUAACCCUGUAUCUUAUUUAUUUUAUAUUUCAUAGGUUGUACCUAGGAAAGAGUUUUAAUAUAACUAAUGUCUGUAUCAUAUGUUGAUAUUGCAAAUAAGCUAUAGUAUAAUUAAAAUUUUCAUUUAAGGUAUUAGUAAAAUUUGAAUACUGAAUUUUUACUUUUAUGCAAGAAAUAAAUCAUUACCAUAUCUGUAAAAUGCUUACUUACUUAUAUAAGUAAUUUCUAACAUGAAAAAGGAAUUAUCACAAUUAUUUUCUGAUAAAAGAAUAACCGACUAUAGAAUGAACAAGAAUAUUAUAUUCGAUGACUGAUGUGUGUUUUCUUAAAUAAAAUUUAAAGUGAAAUACAGGAAAUUCUGCUUCUGGGCAUAAUGGAAGUACCAGAAUUAUGUUUCCGUAGUAAACAACCAAAAAAUAAGACAAAAUUCUAAAAACAAUGGUUUCAGAAAAUAGACAAAAGUCAAAAACAGAUUGUGAUCCCUAAGAGAAGAGAACCAAAUGAACCCCAUUUACUGCCUGAGGAGCGUUCCAGAGCAGUCCUUUAUGCAGGGAAGAGGAUCAUAGGCAGAACACAGGAGUUUUCCUGAUUGAGAAAGAGAGAUAAGGAUUCAGGCAGUCUGGAGUAACUGGAACCAGUAGGGCAGAAAUCCAGAAAGUAAGAAACUGCUGAAAGUAAUUGGCAGAUCUGUACUAUGACUUGCAUUUAGUCUGUGUUAAAUGCAAAGCUGCAUGUGUGUAGGGUGAACUCAGCAAGGUCAGAUCUGUGUACUCCUUUUGUACCAUCCAUGUGCGAUAUCUAGCGUCCAGUCAAGAUUACUCGGCAUGCCAAGGAACAAAAAAUUAUCAAACAUUAAAAAGGGGGGAAUAAAGUUAAUAGAGCCACCAAAAUGAAGAGAGGAUGGAAUCAGAAGAAUCAGUUUAAUCAUCUAUUAUAAAUAUGUUGACUAUGUUCAGCAGUUUAAAGAAAAAUGUGAACACAGCAAGGAGAGGAAUGGAAGACUAAAAAGAUGGAAAUUUUAACACUGAAAAUAUCUGAAAUUUUAAAAAUUCACUAAAUUAUAUUAACAGUAUAUUAGAUGUAAAUAAAAGACAUUGAAGGUCAUGCCAGUAUUCUUUCCUGGAGAAUCCAAUGGACAGAGGAGCCUGGCGGGCUACAGUGCUAGGGUUGCAAAGAGUCGGACACUACUGAGAGACUACGUAUGAAAGACAUUGAAAUCGAAGAUACAACAGAUAAAACAAUAGAAACAAUCCAAACUAAAGCAAAGAGAAAAAGACUGGGAAAAUGACUAGCUGCUCACUGAUCUGUGAGACAAUAUCAUGAGGUCUAAGACAUGAAUAACUAGAGAUAAGUUAGUGGGGAAGGAUGGAACCAAAAAAAAAAAAAAAGCCCAAAAUGUC